AUGGGGUUUUUUCUACUAGUGUUGGUUAGAUUGCAGGAAUGGAAAACGUUACUUAAGUUGAGAAAUAAAGGUUGGCAUGCAGUGACUUUUCUUGUAAACUCAUUAACAUUUCUUAUUGUGAACUUCUUUAAUUACACUUUAAAAAAAUGUGACCAUAAUUCUGCAAUGAUUUUUAGUCACAGUUUUGAUCAAUUUCAAACAAUUAUAAUCACGGUUCAAAGUUUGUCCUGUAGAUUUGUUUUGCUUGGAGUGGCAGAGCUUCGGUUUUAUAUUUUUGUGAUGCCCGUCCCAACACCCUUAUUUCAACCAAGUCAGGUGACCAAAUCCUCCUUGAAGCCGUUGACAUGGAAAUGGAACAAUUGCACAUGGCUACAAAAAAUUACGAAACCAGCUUCGGACGUCUCUCCGGCAAGCCUGACGUCAUUAUUCUUAUCACGAGCAGGCUAG
RNAcentral lists this ribosomal RNA (447 nucleotides) under Triticum aestivum (bread wheat). Its description in RNAcentral is "partial small subunit ribosomal RNA". Lineage: Eukaryota; Viridiplantae; Streptophyta; Magnoliopsida; Poales; Poaceae. The record is from RNAcentral.